Molecule: non-coding RNA, 106 nt
Organism: Brachypodium distachyon (stiff brome)
Lineage: Eukaryota; Viridiplantae; Streptophyta; Magnoliopsida; Poales; Poaceae
Source: Rfam
AAUCCAUGAUGUGGACACAUUCUGAGCAAAGUUUGAUAUCUAUUCCAAGCAUCAUGUAAACUCUCAUCACUAAACUGCACAAAGUUGUUUAUCUUAUCCCUGCAUU